CACGUAGGGUGCGAGCGUUGUCCGGAAUUAUUGGGCGUAAAGCGCACGUAGGCGGCUUUGCAAGUCGGAUGUGAAAUCCCUCGGCUCAACCAAGGAAGUGCAUCCGAAACUGCAGAGCUUGAGUACCAAAGAGGAUCGCGGAAUUCCCGGUGUAGAGGUGAAAUUCGUAGAGAUCGGGAGGAACACCUGUGGCGAAGGCGGCCGACUGGGCCGACCCUGACGCUGAGGCGCGAAGGCGUGGGGAGCGAACGGG
Molecule: ribosomal RNA, 253 nt
Filed under: uncultured bacterium
Lineage: Bacteria
Description: partial 16S ribosomal RNA
Rfam family: Bacterial small subunit ribosomal RNA
Source: RNAcentral